RNAcentral lists this unclassified non-coding RNA (212 nucleotides) under Metazoa environmental sample. RNAcentral describes it as "sequence contains 5.8S rRNA gene, ITS2, 28S rRNA gene". The record is from RNAcentral. Lineage: Eukaryota; Metazoa.
AACGCAGGCAGCGCCUUGAGAUGUUACGCAAGUAACAUUUCAAGGCAUCCACGUAUGAGUGUCAGCCCAAUAUCUGUUUGGUUCAUGAGAAGACUUGGCGCGCUUACCAUGGCCAACUCGUGAAUAGACUCGUGUGUCUUGCGCGACAUAUCACUCGAAGCGAUAGCCGCCGUGUCUGGCCUCAUAUGUGGAAGGUUACCCGCUGGAUUUAA